GACAAUGCAUCCUUUGCACACAUACACAGAAACAGACAAUGCAAACCCGUACACACACAUGCAAACACACACACUUCUUUUCUAACAUACACACAAUGCACACACAUACAGACACACACCUUGCAUCCCUUAUGCAUACAAACACAGAUUCACACAAUGCAUCCCUUACACACAACCAGAAACACAUAAUACAUCCCUUAUACACAAAUACACACUGCUUCC
Pelobates cultripes (western spadefoot toad) is the source of this 222-nucleotide non-coding RNA. Lineage: Eukaryota; Metazoa; Chordata; Amphibia; Anura; Pelobatidae. The record is from the annotation of a GenBank genome assembly.